UACGGGGGGGGCUAGCGUUGUUCGGAAUUACUGGGCGUAAAGGGCGCGUAGGCGGCCUACUAAGUCGGACGUGAAAUCCCUCGGCUCAACCGGGGAACUGCGUCCGAUACUGGUGGGCUCGAAUCCGGGAGAGGGAUGUGGAAUUCCAGGUGUAGCGGUGAAAUGCGUAGAUAUCUGGAGGAGCACCGGUGGCGAAGGCGGCAUCCUGGACCGGUAUUGACGCUGAUGCGCGAAAGCCAGGGGAGCAAACGGG
RNAcentral lists this ribosomal RNA (253 nucleotides) under uncultured bacterium. RNAcentral describes it as "partial 16S ribosomal RNA". It matches the Rfam family "Bacterial small subunit ribosomal RNA", at positions 524 to 776 of the family's 1533-position model. The record is from RNAcentral.